CUCAUUUUGCAAAUGAGGAAACCAAGUUACAGAGGAGCUGAGUGACUUGCCAAGGUCAUGAUGCCGGUCAGGAAUAGCGGCAGGAUUUGAACCUGAGCUGUGUGGUUACAGGGUUACACUGUGCUGUGGUGCAUCUAAGGAAGAGCCCCGAACUGUUGUCGUUGUUUAGGAGGACAGGUCCCAGGCCCGUGUCUGGUGCACACACAGCCAAACGAUCACUGAGCGCACACUCAGUGCCAGGCGCUGAAGGGACACAUGUUGCCCUGGUCUCAUGAGCUUUCCAGUCCAGCAAGAAGACAACUGAGGCGCGUCCUGUGCACACUGCUCCGGCUCUUUUCCUCUUACCUGUGCCUUCCAGGGUCGCUGCCAGCACACGUCUGGUCCGUCCACACGGUCCGGGACACUCCGUGUUCAGAGGCCCUGGCUGUGUCAGCCAGUCCCGCAGUGGCUUCUUCUGUCUCAGAGACCUGCAGGAAUGCGCCGGCACUUGCUGCGGGCCUGUCCUGAGGAGAGCCGCUGCGUCAUAGGGCAGGGCAUGUGUGCUUCUCAUGAAUCCUGUCGAGCUGCCCCCACUCGCACCACCACACAGGACAGUGCCUCUUGCCGUGCAGCUUUGCCAGCAAGACGUUCAUGACCUCCCAGCCAAAGCCCCCAACGUUGAGGGGCAGAGACAGGCCUCCUGCUGCAGCCCGUCUGGCUUCCUGGCCUGCAGACACCAUGGCAGGAUAGAAUGAGUUAUGCCACUGUGUUUCGAGGUGGCUCAUUACACAGCAAUAAAAUGUGGAAACAACCCUUCCUAGAAUCCGGCAGCAGACAUUGUCCACUUGCUGAGACAGAAGCUGGCCUCACAGUGCUCAGUGGCCCAAAAGCCCCAUCAUUGGCCCAAGUGCAGUCAGCCAGUGUCCCUCCAAGGUGCCCCUGGGGAGCCUCAGUCAUCCUGCCCCUCAACGUCCCCCCUUGGACGCGGGAAAGGCCCUGGGAGCAUGCGAGAGCGAUGCUCCUGGGGAGCCCUGAGCACAUGCCCACCACCUGCCAGAUAAAGCAAUGGCUGCAGUCGUCCAGCACGAGCCUGGGAAAGGCACAGAUUGCCCCCAGUUCAUCCUAGUGUUCUCCUCGUCAGGGCCCGGUAGCAGUCAGCAAGAGUAGGGAGCCCCGUCCACAGUCGUGGGGACUGUGGGAGGGGUGUCACUCGCUCGUCAUCACACCCUUGCUGAACACCUGCUCUGCGCCAGGCCCGGAAAAGCCCUGGAGAUAAGAAAGAAAGGGCCCAGACCCUGCCUGCCAGCAGCCGCGUGGCCACCCCUAAGUCAGGGGUCGGGGCAAACACACAGCAGGGGUGCACAAGGGGACCUGGGAAUUUCAGGUUUAGUACAAGGAGGGUCCUGGGCCAAGUUAGUCACGCCAGAGUGUGAUGAGGAAGGCAAAGAUGGUUUGAUUAUAGUUGUGCCUUUUUAUAGCCCAGUUUCCAGCACGUGCCGCCCUCAUGACAGGCCGGUGAGGUGGGUGAGACUGCCGUCAGUGUCUUGCUUUCACAAGCGGGGGCUGGGGCUGCCCAGGGAAAGGGGGAGGUUUAGGCUGUUCACGGGGCAUUGAAGCAGUCACUGCAUGGGCUUGCUAAGGCUGCCCUGACGACCACAGACUGGGGGCUUCACCCUCAGAAGUUUGUUUCCUCACAGUCUGGAGGCUGGAAGUCUGACAUCAGGUGCUGGCAGGGCGGGUUCCUUCCGAGGCCUCCCUCCUGGCGUGCAGACGGCCGCCUCCUCCCUGUGUCCUUGCAUGGUCGUCCACCUGCGCGCACACCCCUGGGGUGUCCGGAUCCCUUCUUGUGGGACACCAGUGAGAGUGGAUUAGCACCCACCCCAUGACCUCAUUUCAGCUUCCUCACCUCUGUAAAGACCCCGUCUCCAGAUGCAGUCACAUUCUGAGAUACUGGGGCUUAGCACCUCAACAGAUGGAUUUUCAGGGGACACAGUUCAGCCCAGAACACACUUUCCCAGUUUGGACAGAGGCCACAAAAUGAAUCAAGCCUCCACAUCACCCGCACCCUGGUGACUGUCAUGGACCUCCAGCCUACAAGGAGGUGGAGGUCGUGGGGAAAGAUUGGUUUGGGGCGAGGAUGCUUGCUCUGGGUCCCCUGGGUUGGGGCACAGUGGGAUGGUGGAUGGCCACAUGCAAAGGGGUCUGAAGGGGAAAGGCUGCCCUGGCACCUGAGGUGGCGGGACACAGAGAGCGAUGGGCCCCCUCAAGGAGGAUGGGCCACCAGAUGCCUAGGGGUCAAAAGAAAGGGAAGGCCGGCAGUCACAGGAAGCAGAAUCAGAAGUGCCUCGUGGUGGGGCCUCUUCAGAGAGCACAAAGGUGACGGUCAACCGUUGUGUUCACACCGGUCUGUGCACAGCCAUGCUUCAGCAGCACUGUUCAUUAUCACCAGAAGGCGGGACACCCCGAAUGCCCAUCCAUGGAUGAAAGGAGAGGCAAAAUGGGGCCCACUGCACAUGGAAUAUUAUCGAACCAUAAGAAGGAGUGAAGCCCUGACACACGCAACCACGUGGAUGAACCUGGAAAAUAGGAUGCCAAGUGAAACAAGCCAGACAUAAGAGGGAAAAUAGCACAUGAUGCCCUGUGUGUGAAAUGUCCACAAUAGGAAACGCACAGAGACAGGCAGUCGAUAGUGGUGCCAGCAGCAGGGAGGGUGGGGAGGGACCACUGAUGGGUCCAGGUUUCUUUCGGGGAUGAAGACAAUGUUCUGGAACCAGGUAUCGGUGAUGGUUGUGAAACAGUGUGAAGGUACUAAACGCCACUGCAUUGUACUCUUUAAAAUGGCUAAUUUUAUGUGAUGUGGAUUUCACCUCAAUUAAAAAACAGUGACCAUGAGAGUGAAAUCCAGCUUUAAACAUCUGCCUUAGCCCAAGAAAGAGUUCUGGGCCCCUCGCUCGCCUCCCUCCCCCACCCCGUCCCCCAAGAUGGCAGGCUGUGGAGAAUCACAAGCUGGCCGCCCCACGCACUCGCUCGCUUCUGUAAACCAUGUGCCAGGCGCCCUCUGCGGGGCCGAGAUGAAGGGGAGACGGACUCUGAGAGUCCCACAGUGUAGUUUUCCAGUAACCACAUUUUAAAAAGUAAAAAGAGACAGGUGAGUUUUAAUAAUGUAUUUUAUUUAACCCAGUGUAUCUAAAAAAUUAUCCUAUCAACAUGUAAUCAAUUUUUGAUUACAUGUUUAGAUUGAUUACAUUUAGAUUACGUUUUGAUUACGUUAGAGUUUAUGAAGGAGAUAUUUUACAUUCUUUUUUUUCCAUAUUGUCUUCAAAACCCAUUGUGUUCUUUCACACUUAGACGUGUCUCCAUCAGGACACUGAGCUUUCAUCAGGAACACUUGAUCUGUAUUUCGAUCUCAUUAAGUUUACGGUUGACAAGUAGAUUCACGUACCCCCAUUGUUCCAAACGUACUCAAAAAAAGAUUUCCAGUAACUGAAUUGAGUAUCGGUUUUAACAAUUGCAUUUAAAUAAGUUAAAAUGGAGUAAAAUUGAGGACUCACCAUUGGGUCACACUCCCCUCGUUCCUGGGCUCCGUGGUGCGUCACCCCUCAGGCGUCGGGCGGCGGCCCCAGCUCUGCCUCUGGAGCAGGAGGGACAUGAAAGCCAGGUGACGGGGUGCUUGACAACAGCAGCGGGCAGGGGUGCCCAAGGCGGGGCAGGCACGCAGCAGGAGUGGCUGUCUGCAAAGAGAGCAGACUCCGAGCCAGGACCUGGGAGCCCCCCGGGAGGACUCCCGCUCACGCAGCCGUCCUGCUCAGCGGCUCCUCCGGAACAUUCCUCGGUGGAGGGCAGGGCAGGCUGUCACCGCCCGCCGGGGAGGGCAAAGGAGCCGGCGGGACAGGAGCACAGGUCGCGUUGCUCAGGGUCAGUGCGUGUUGGACGCCUGCCAGCCGAGGCCCGUGCACCCCGGGAUGCACACGGGGCGCCCCGGGCUCGUGCACCCAAAGUCGUGGGGCUCGGAAGCAGAAAGGUGGGUUCGCACCCAUUUGCCUGACACAGACCCUGAAACCGUGGACUUCCGUAAAUUUCUCUCAAAUCUCAGAGCUGGGCAGAACCAGGUCAUCCUGGCCUCCUGGCUGAGGUUCCCUCUCCUGCCUCUCCCUCCCCUGAGGGCAGCUGCUCGCCUGAAGGAGGAGAGAAGGGGCAGUUGAGACUGAGUCUCUCUGUCUGAUUUGGUCUCAGGAUGGAGAUGGAAGAGCGCCUGGAACAAAAGAGGAGCUGGUGGGGAGGAGGCAGGCAAGGCGGCCUGGGCCCCCCGCCUGGAGAAGGAGAGCAAGCGGGAGAGGCCCGUCCCCACUGGACGGCUGCCGUGGGGGCGUCAGACUCACUCUGCGGGGCUGCAAGGGGGGCCCCAGGACCUGUGCUCUCAGCGUUAGUUCCCUGCGGCCGUAACAGAGGACGACAAACAGGCAGCUGAAAACGACAGACACUGAGCAGAAGUCUGAACACAGGUGCAGGCAGGGCUGCCACCCAGGGCUCCGGGGCAGUCCCGCCCGCCUCCUCCAGCUUCUGGAGACUGUGGCCUUCCGUGGCCGCGUCACUCCAGGCCCUGCCUCUGUGGCCACGUGGCCUCGUCUUCUGCCUCGACUCUCCCUCUGCCUCUCUCUUACAAGGACACUUGCUGGAUUGAGGGCUACCUGGGUAAUCCAGGACAACCUCCUCGUCUCAAGAUCCUUCACUUCAUUGCAUCUACGAGACCCCUUUUCCAAAGGAGGCGACACCCCCAGAUCCUAGGGGUUCAGACGUGGACAUGUCGUUUGGAGGAUCACCGUUCAACCGCUACAAAGUGAUGGGGGUAAAUCAUUAGCUCAGCAUGAAGAAAAGACUCUGCUGCGGCCACCGGGCAGGUGCCUGAGGCGGGAGUCCCUGCAGGCCGGCCCGGGUGGGCGGGGCUGGGGACUCGAGGUGCAGAGGACCCAGGGGAGGCUCCCAUGCUGCAGCCCAGGGAGGAGCAGCUGCCGCCUCUGACCCUGGCCCUGUGGCUCUCGUGUCUGUGUCUCUUUCUGUUGCCUGAAAGUUAAGGUCAGCUUUCGGUAGAAGGGGUCAACUUGCCAUCUCUCCAGCUCCUGUCUAGGGGUCACACCCCCUCAUCCCAGCCCGAGGCUCCCUGGUUCUCACUCCAGAAGUUUGCCUUACAGUUUGGGAUAGCCAGGACCAGAACUGUGCUGAUAGCGUCCACGUCACACCGAUGCACAGCAGCCCGAGUGGGGGGAUGGGAGCGGGUGGGUGGAGGCCGCCUCCGACCUGGACAUCUGUGGCUGACAAGCGGGAUCUAAGGGAGGAGAUGGAGGGGAGGGGUCUUCUGAGGAGCUUAGGGCUGAUGGGGUCCGGUGAGGAGACAGGUGAGGGGAGACAUGGGCCCACGAAAGGCUGAGGGAGGCCCAGUCGGCCCUGCCGCCCGCAGAUGAGGCCACUGCUCGGCCAUUAAGUGCACUGCUCCUGGUGGACGCUCUGCCUCGUCUGUUCCCGAGUGUUCUGGGCGGCGUCAGGCAGAACUGCUCUCCUCGGUGUAACUCCAGAUUAGCUUUCCACCCAUUCUGGGGCCAGGUGAGAGGGGUGCUGUAUGUGCGGGCUGCGCGCCUGGGAAACCUGAGGCCGAGGCUUGUCUCACACCCUCAGCCCGCAGAGGUCAAGUUGUGUUGGAAGGGGUCUGAUCUGCUACAUUUAACCUUUGUUUAUUCAGGAAAAAAAGUGUAGUUUUCUCCGAGAUUUGUCCACUCAACAGCCUCUUUCAGCCGACACCGAGAGCCAGCUGCGUGCGAGUCCCCCUUGUGUGAGGAGCCACAGGGCCAGCUCGCUGGGACCUCGGGGGUUCAGAGGGCCAGUGCCCCGGGAGCAGUGCUUGCCCCUUGUGGCCCGUGGGCGCCGCAGGGGCGCAGAGGGGCCUGUGCCCUGGGCUUGGGCUUGCCGUGCUGCCAUUUGUCACUGGGGAGCCAAGAGGGCACCAGCAGGGGCAGACUUGGGAGUCUGUAGCAGCACCCCUAGCCCUGCCCGCCCGUCAGGCCCAAGGAGAGGACCAUGAUCUCGUCCAGCAGGGCCGUUUCUGGCAGGCAGACCCUCCACCUAAAACACGUUGCCC
Long non-coding RNA from Equus asinus (donkey), 6109 nucleotides. Lineage: Eukaryota; Metazoa; Chordata; Mammalia; Perissodactyla; Equidae. The record is from Ensembl.